This 1374-nucleotide ribosomal RNA is filed under the name uncultured bacterium. Its description in RNAcentral is "16S ribosomal RNA". It matches the Rfam family "Bacterial small subunit ribosomal RNA", at positions 76 to 1435 of the family's 1533-position model. The record is from RNAcentral.
GCUUGCUUGCUUUGACGACGACCGGCGCACGGGUGAGUAACGCGUAUCCAACCUGCCCCUUACUACGGGACAGCCCGGCGAAAGUCGGAUUAAUACCGUAUGUGGUGUGAAGAGGACAUCUGACUUACACUAAAGAUUCGUCGGUAAGGGAUGGGGAUGCGUCCGAUUAGGUUGUCGGCGGGGUAACGGCCCACCGAGCCUUCGAUCGGUAAGGGUUCUGAGAGGAAGGUCCCCCACACUGGAACUGAGACACGGUCCAGACUCCUACGGGAGGCAGCAGUGAGGAAUAUUGGUCAAUGGGCGAGAGCCUGAACCAGCCAAGUAGCGUGAGGGAAGACUGCCCUAUGGGUUGUAAACCUCUUUAGUCUGGGAAUAAAGUUGGCGACGUGUCGCCUUUUGUAGGUAACCAGAAGAAUAAGGACCGGCUAAUUCCGUGCCAGCAGCCGCGGUAAUACGGAAGGUCCGGGCGUUAUCCGGAUUUAUUGGGUUUAAAGGGAGCGCUGGCGGCCUGUUAAGCGGGCAGUUAAAGGCGGUGGCUCAACCAUCGUUAGCUGUCCGAACUGAUAGGCUUGAGUACGUGCGAGGUAUGCGGAAUUCGUGGUGUAGCGGGUUGAAAUGCUUUAGAAUAYCACGAAGAACCCCGAAUUGCGAAAGGGCAGCAUAACCAGUGCGCCACUGACGCUAAAGCCUCGAAAGCGCCGGGUUAUCGAACAGGAUUAGAUACCCCUGGUAGUCCGCGCGGUUAAACGAUGGAUGCCCGCUGUGCGGCCUUUUAUGGUUGCGCGGCCAAGCGAAAGCGUUAAGCAUCCCACCUGGGGAGUACGCCGGCAACGGUGAAACUCAAAGGAAUUGACGGGGGCCCGCACAAGCGGAGGAACAUGUGGUUUAAUUCGAUGAUACGCGAGGAACCUUACCCGGGCUUGAAUUGCAGCUGCAUGGGGCAGAGAUGUCCCUUCCCUUCGGGGCUGCUGUGAAGGUGCUGCAUGGUUGUCGUCAGCUCGUGCCGUGAGGUGUCGGCUUAAGUGCCAUAACGAGCGCAACCCCCCUCCCCGGUUGCCAUCGGGUAAUGCCGGGCACUCCGUGGACACUGCCACCGCAAGGUGUGAGGAAGGUGGGGAUGACGUCAAAUCAGCACGGCCCUUACGUCCGGGGCUACACACGUGUUACAAUGGCAGGCACAGAGAGCUGGCCCGUCGCAAGACGCGUCGAAUCCUUAAAUCCUGCCUCAGUUCGGACUGGGGUCUGCAACCCGACCCCACGAAGCUGGAUUCGCUAGUAAUCGCGCAUCAGCCAUGGCGCGGUGAAUACGUUCCCGGGCCUUGUACACACCGCCCGUCAAGCCAUGAAAGCCGGGGGCGCCUGAAGUCCGUGACC